UACGGGAGGCAGCAGUGGGGAAUAUUGCACAAUGGGCGCAAGCCUGAUGCAGCAACGCCGCGUGGAGGAAGACGGUUUUCGGAUUGUAAACUCCUGUUCUUAGUGACGAAGAAGUGACGGUAGCUAAGGAGCAAGCCACGGCUAACUACGUGCCAGCAGCCGCGGUAAU
This 169-nucleotide ribosomal RNA is filed under the name uncultured rumen bacterium. RNAcentral describes it as "partial 16S ribosomal RNA". It matches the Rfam family "Bacterial small subunit ribosomal RNA", at positions 340 to 524 of the family's 1533-position model. The record is from RNAcentral.